This 460-nucleotide ribosomal RNA is filed under the name uncultured bacterium. RNAcentral describes it as "partial 16S ribosomal RNA". It matches the Rfam family "Bacterial small subunit ribosomal RNA", at positions 338 to 795 of the family's 1533-position model. The record is from RNAcentral.
CCUACGGGAGGCAGCAGUGAGGAAUAUUGGUCAAUGGGCGCGAGCCUGAACCAGCCACGUAGCGUGAAGGAUGACUGCCCUACGGGUUGUAAACUUCUUUUAUAAAGGCAUAAAGUGAGGCACUAGCGCCUUUUUGUAUGUACUUUAUGUAUAAGGAUCGGCUAACUCCGUGCCAGCAGCCGCGGUAAUACGGAGGAUCCGAGCGUUAUCCGGAUUUAUUGGGUUUAAAGGGAGCGUAGAUGGGUUGUUAAGUCAGUUGUGAAAGUUUACGGCUCAACCGUAAGAUUGCAAUUGAUACUGGCAGCCUUGAGUACAGGUGAGGUAGGCGGAAUUCGGGGUGUAGCGGUGAAAUGCUUAGAUAUCACGAAGAACACCGAUUGCGAAGGCAGCUUACUAGACUGCCACUGACAUUGAUGCUCGAAAGUGUGGGUAUCAAACAGGAUUAGAUACCCCUGUAGUC